RNAcentral lists this transfer RNA (73 nucleotides) under Stegodyphus mimosarum. It matches the Rfam family "tRNA". Rfam says of the family: Transfer RNA (tRNA) molecules are approximately 80 nucleotides in length. Their secondary structure includes four short double-helical elements and three loops (D, anti-codon, and T loops). Further hydrogen bonds mediate the characteristic L-shaped molecular structure. tRNAs have two regions of fundamental functional importance: the anti-codon, which is responsible for specific mRNA codon recognition, and the 3' end, to which the tRNAs corresponding amino acid is attached (by aminoacyl-tRNA synthetases). tRNAs cope with the degeneracy of the genetic code in two manners: having more than one tRNA (with a specific anti-codon) for a particular amino acid; and 'wobble' base-pairing, i.e. permitting non-standard base-pairing at the 3rd anti-codon position. The record is from Rfam by way of RNAcentral. Lineage: Eukaryota; Metazoa; Arthropoda; Arachnida; Araneae; Eresidae.
GCCUUCGUGAUGUAGUGGUCAACACGCUCGACAUGUAAUCGAGAGGCCCGUGGUUCGAGUCCCGGCGAGGACA